AACGUUGUUUGAAUUGUCUGGGUAAAGGCUAUGACUAAGUUGUAACUUAUGUUUCUUAAUUUUGUAACUUAAGUUUAUUUUAGUGCGUAUGAGAGCUUGCACAAUGUUGUUAAUACUUUCUUCGGAUUGAAUUAUUAUCAUUAUGUUCCUAUGAUAAUGUAGUAAGAACUAAGUUUUUGCUAUUGUAAAUUUUGGCUUACCAAAUUCAAGGUGGAACAUGUCAAUCUCUAUACAGUGUUUAGUGAAUGAAGUGUUGAUGUUGAUGUACUUCAAACUUCAAACUUUGCCGAUGAUUAAAGUCACUGAGUUUCUUCAAUAGCUACAAUAUAUAACUAGCCUAAAUCAUAGAAUGUAUGAGGAGCAGUAACCAGUUUCACUUGGGAUUUCCUCGUUUGAUCCGAUGCAAUUUUUUUUUUGGUAUCAGUUAACUCGCAUUGCUUAGUCCCCUUUCAAAUAUGGAUAUUCAGAAAGAGGGUUGUGAUUGUUGGUAAAUAGUUGAUGCAAUUAUCUUAGAUCCGCAUUCUUCUACCUAUUAGUAAUUGUUAUUUUUGUAGUAGUCUAUGUUGUAAUAAGGCACACUCACCUUUUUGUUGGCAGGAACAUAAGAAGUCAAUAAGUUUUAGGUCUAAUAGAAAGAAAUUCAAUUGAUGGAGGUGUUAGGACUUUCGGGGAGCCUACAACGAUGGGAUGGGUCAUCAUAUUAGACUAAAAACAACUAGAGUUUAGACGUCACAUUUCACUCAAAAUCUUAAUGUGUUAGGGGUAUAGUAUGUGCAUUUUUACUUAUAUGUUGCUCAACAUUUGUUCUAAUUCACACCUAACACAUCAGCAGGCCGAGCGACAAAUCAUUCAAUGUGUUUGGUUUUGUAUUAUUGAUAAAGAAAAGAACACCUUGGCCAAAGAAAAUCUAUCUUAUUAAGUUUUGGCUAAGGCCAAAAUUUCCAAGAAUAAUAUAGAAGAAAUAAGAAUGAAACUUACACUCACUUUUCUGAGUAUCAACAGAGGGGUUUGAGUUUCAGCCUUCAUGCAUAUUAAGGGGGAAAUUACAAUAAAUUUACAAGUGGAAAGUCUACAUAGAAACAUUGUGUACCGGUAGCUUAGACAUAAAUGUCUCAUUUGGAACCACCACCCCAACAAAAAAAUGACAUUGUCCAUUAAUACAUGCAACCCUGAAGUUUUAAAGUUGUGGUGAUAUCAUGUUGCUCACAUACAUGUAAGAGCUACCCACUCAUUUAGCCGGAGACAGAGCCACGUUGGUCACAUUGGGGGCACAUGCCUGCACUAAUAUUUAGAAGCAACUUUUUUUUAGUAGUACUAUACUAAAUCUAUUUGAUAUUGCACACCCAAGAGAAAUGAGAUAUAAGCUGCUCCAUUAAUCCACUUGCACUUUGGUUAGUUCUUACAUUUAUCUUAGAAUGUACUAAUUAAAACUAUAAACAUAUUUACAAAUAUUCUUUUUAUUAGUUAUUUUGAUCAUCAAAUCUGUUUUUAUUUAAUCAAUUUUGUCGUGGUUUUUAUUGAUCAGUUUAAUCAAUAAAAUUAGAAAUAAUAGGAACAUAAAACAUGUUUGCAUUUUUUAUACAUUUAGAAUUUAUAGUGGCAAUGUCUCUCACAUUUAGAGACUAAAAUGAUUGUUUGAAAAAAGAAACAAACCUAGCACGUGAAUUGAUAUUACUUCCUCCAUUUUUAAAUAUAAACAAAGUUUAAAAUAUAUUUGAUCUAAAUAUAAGUCGAAUAAAUUUUGAUUGUUGCAUAUUUAAAAUAUACAUGAUGUAUUGACUCAUAUUAUGGAUCAAAUACAUCAAUUUGUGUUGAUUCGAUUGUCUCUUAUAAAAAGAACCAAAGAUAAUAUACAAAUUUAUAUAUAUAUGCCCCCUCCCUCUAUUCAAAAUUUAUGGCUCCGUCACUAUAUUAAGCAUUCCAUUUAGAGAAAUUUUUUAUUCAAAAAGUUAAACACUACAAUUUCUAAUGCGUUGACUUUAAAUAUUUCUAUAAAAAUUCUAUAAAAACUUACUAUUAAAGUGGCUUAAAGAGUGUCCCGGAGGUACUUGUUAGCAUUUUUUUUAUAAUCAUACCCUUAUAGAAAAAGAAAUAGAAUUUUUUUUUUGGUACAAAAAGAAAAUAGAAGCACAAUAUAAUUAGGAAAGAGAUUUGCGCGCCCUCGAAAUUCCUCACGAACCCCCUAACAUUAUCAAACUAACUCUCGCUUUCUAGAAUGCGAGAAAUUUCCGCACUCUAAUGGCGAGUGACAAUAUUUUUAACUCAAACCCAACAUUUGUGCCCCUUAGAUAAAAAAAAAUCAUAAAAAAAAAGUUUGCAUUCUAAAAGCGAACUCAGUUUGCAGUUGACUAAUUAACUUAAGAAGCUUUUCUUAAGUCUGGUUGUUGACCACCCACGCUAACAAAUUUUAACUUUAAAUUAUUUUUAAAUCGUUUAGUUGAUACCCAAUACCCAACUUAAGACUUUGUUUGGUAGGAGAGAAAAAGAUAAGAGAGAAAUAAAAUCACAGAAACCAAUGUAAGUCAAAAUACUACAUGCAUUGGUUUCGGUGUUUUUAUUUCUAUGGGAGUACCAAAAACACUCUAAAGACUUUUUGUAUUAUUUAUUUAUGAAAAAUAAUUUACCUUUGUAACCAGAAAAACAAAAAUCAAAUUUACUGUGUGUGUUUGGUUUAACGGUAAAAAGAAUUGAUUAUGGCAGAAUUAAGUUUGAUAGAAUUGAUUUUGAUAAAAGUGAAUUGAGUGUUAAUUGAUUUGUGUUUGGAUACAUUAACUUGAAAGUGAUUCUCAACAUUUGGUGUUGUUUGGAUAAUUUAAAUUAAAAGUACAUUUAAAUGUGAAAUUACCAAGUUGUCCAUCUCUCUCAUCAAUUCGGUAAAAAUAAUAUCUCCCUCAAAAAUUAAACAAGAAUUCUCUAGAACCCCUCAUUUAAUUAAGGACUAAACUUAUAUACAGUUCAAUAUACACAAUUUUUACUAUGCCAGAUACAUGGGGAAGUUAUUUUUAUUUAAAAACAAUUUUCUUUUUCUUUUUUUAAUUAAAAAAUAUAAAUAACUACCUUUUUGUGAAAGGGACAGAAAAAACUGCAUCUAAGGAAAUGCAUAUAAGUUUUAUCCUUUAAUUAAUUAUAAAAAAUAUAUAAAAAGGUAGUUAAAGUCAUUUCAUGAAGAAUGAAGAAUACUCUAGACCCUUAACUAUUCAAUGGUUGUUGUCUUGCAAACCGUCAGUUCAUCUCUAACGCUCGCCAUCCAUGGUUGCCCCUCUCAAGUUGUUUAAUUUCAUGGAUGACAUAAUACUUUGUUGAUUCUUCCCUUAAAUUCAGAUUUUAGUUUGUCAAAUUUUUUUUUUUAAAUUUUUCAUCUGUGUUCUCNNNNNNNNNNNNNNNNNNNNNNNNNNNNNNNNNNNNNNNNNNNACAUAAGGAGAAACUGUUCCGGAGAACAAAAAAAUUUGAGGCUUGAAGAAAAAAAAAAUUGGAUCUUGAGUUGAAGCAUGGGUAAUUAGGUAAAUAUAUAUGUCAGCAAAAAACCAAACUCCAGAAUUGCUUUUAGUUAACACAUAAGCUACAAUUUGUGACUUCCAUUAAACUCACGUUUUGACGGUGGAAGCACGUUUCAUAAUUUGCUUUUGAUUGUACAUCAUAGAAAAUGGCAAAGUUGCUUUUGGAAGUUCAAACUCACGUUUGGAAAGCGGAAACGCUCAACCAAACACAUACAAUCUAUCUGAAAACCAUGGUAGUCAAUCCCGGGCGAUCCCGGUGGAGCAGAGCGGAGCGGAGCUCUGCCGGGACAGGAUGGGAUGGAGCGGCGCAGCUAAGCUUCUCGGUGGGAUCCCAGUGGACCGGAGCGGAGCGGGUCCCGGGUUGCCAUCCCGGGUUAGGGCUGANNNNNNNNNNNNNNNNNNNNNNNNNNNNNNNNNNNNNNNNNNNNNNNNNNNNNNNNNNNNNNNNNNNNNNNNNNNNNNNNNNNNNNNNNNNNNNNNNNNNNNNNNNNNNNNNNNNNNNNNNNNNNNNNNNNNNNNNNNNNNNNNNNNNNNNNNNNNNNNNNNNNNNNNNNNNNNNNNNNNNNNNNNNNNNNNNNNNNNNNNNNNNNNNNNNNNNNNNNNNNNNNNNNNNNNNNNNNNNNNNNNNNNNNNNNNNNNNCAAUCUCACUAAAAUCUCACUCUCUUAUUGCAAGAACAAAGAGGAUCAAGAACAAUAGCAGCAAAAUUAGACUGAUUCGUGAUGACAGCGGCGGGACGGUGAGGUUCGCUCAUGACAUCAACGACGGUGAACUGGCGGUGAGGAGAUGCAUAGAAAAUAUAUUAGUAAUUGUUUCAUCAAACGACCGCUAUAUACUUCAUACCUUCCUUCUCUUUUGAAAAAUACUUCAUUUCUCAUUUCAAGGGAAAAAGGGAUAAGGAACCAAUUGAGCUGCUGAUAGAACCUUGCGCCAUCAAUAGCUUCGAUAUUGAUCAACAUAAUACAUUGGUAAGUGGAGGCAGCUAUUAUUGUUUCUAUUCUAUAGGACUCAUUUGAUGGUGUUUUCUUAUAGUUUAUUUUGGCAGUAGUUGUCCAAAAAGAAUGUGUUUUUGGUUUCAGGUUUGUUUUUUUUAAUGAUUGUGUUGUAAUGUGUUUUUAUUAGAAUAGUUAUUGUUAUUCAACAUGUCUUUGUUGGAUUUGCAUUUGCGAAGGAGCAGCAGCAGCGGCGGCGCCACCUCCAUCUCUGCUAUCGCAUCAACCAACUCUGAUCUUCUCUUUUCACAAACUUUUCUUUUCAAUUUCGGUAACCAAUCAAAUCCCUAAUUUCUCUCCCCUUUUCGAUUGCUUCUUCGUUCUCCUUCACCCCCAAGCUCUAAUCUUCAUGGAUCGGAUUUUCUUCAUGCUCUGUGGUGUUUAUUGUUAUUUGGGAUGAACAUGAUGAACUUUUUCUUCUGCUUUAAAUGGGUUUUUUUUGUUUGUUUGUGCUUUUUGGUUUUAUAUACCUAAUUUUGUUGUUUUGAGUUUUUUUUUUGUUAUUAUGAUUUUGAUUAAGCAUAGAUAUAUACUUAAAGUUGAAAUUUUUAUUGCUGAUUAUUGUGUUGAUGAACUGUUUCUGAAUUUAAUUGUUCUGCUUUUGUUGCUCUUAUGUUUAGGUUCAUGUGAGAGAUCAAAUUUCAAGUCUUUUGUUUUGGGUGAAUUUGUUUUGUUAAGCUUGUCUCAUGAUUUGUUUUGUUUUGGGUUCAUUUCAAAGAUAAUAUCAAUUUGAGAAUUUGUAAUUCAAGCUGUGUUAUUACAUCAAUUAGUUGUUAUUCAAUUAUAUUUUUGGUUGAAUUGGCUAUGUAUCAUGGAGCAGUAAUUUGCAAUUUCUGCUAUUUACUUUAUAGUAUUAGUUGUUAAUACUUUGCAUAAGUGCUGAUAUAUUACAACAUUGUUGAGGAACAUGUCCACUUUACAUAUUACAUAGUGGGGUUGUGGAGCUGAAUUUUGUUAAACAAUUGAAUAAGUUCUUCUUUAUUUCUGCAAUUAACCUUGCUUGAAAAUGCUACAAAAGCUUAAGCUUUUGGGAGUAUUGAUUAUUGGUAGAUAUAUUUGUUCGUAAUAUCUGGUGCAUAUAUCUUAAAGGUAUUGUCUGCUUGACCAAAUAUGUUUCUCAGAAACUUUUUUUUCGAUAGGCAUAUUUAUAAAAAAAAAAACUAAAGCCUCAUGGAGUUAUCUUAAUGAUUUACAUUGAGUUUUCAGAAUGAAUUUUGUUUGAUAGUUAUUUAUGUUGAGUGAUCACGGCUAAUGUAAAAUUUUGUUGAAUCUUCAUGACAUGUCAUCAAUAUUUGCUUAAAGACUCCCGAAGACAAAGGAAUGUCAACCUAAGACUAAUAAUAUAAGCCGAUUUUAAUUUAUUUUAAUUUAUUUUUAUUUUUCUCAAAAUUAUGUGAUGAUUUUAUUUUUUUUGAUAAUGCUAUGUGAUGAUUUUAUAUUUCUAUUUUAUUUUUAUUUAUGUAUAAUAACCAAAUUCGAACACAACAGAACACAGCACACUAUACGGUUGUGGACUGUGUUGUUGAUUAUGCGAUGUUGUCUCUCACUCCAAUCGCCAACACCUUCUCAUUCUCAUCCAUCAUCUGCAAAUGCAAAGCAUCCCUUGACAUUCACAGCGAUGCCCUCGACGCUGGAUAUAUCCGACGCGCCGCCCGCCUUGCAGACAAAUCCGCCGGAUUCACUUCCCCUCAUCCCAACUUCGGUUGCGUCAUCGCUACUCCAUCCGGCAAUGUCGCUGGAGAAGGCUACCUCUACGCGCAAGGUACCAGUGCCGCCGAAGUUCAGGCUAUUACCUCUGCCGGAGAACUCUCCCGUGGUGCAACCGCUUAUUUAAACAUGGAACCCGGUGACUGUGAUGGUGACAGCACUGCUGUGUCUGCUCUGCUUCAGGUUUAUUCCUAUUCAUCUUUGUUUUUUUUUCUUCCAAAUUCGUGUAUGUGAAUGACAACGUUGUUGUUUGUUACAAACAAGUAGUACAAUGUUGUUUGGGGUGUGUGUUUGUUAACUUUAAUUUGUGUUUGUAGUUGAUAAAUGAUCCUAUCUGUGAAACCAAACUAGGGUGGGGUCAAAAGGGUUGUCAUUGGAAUGAGACAUCCUUUGCAACAUUUUAGAGGCAAUGCUGUGCGUGCACUCAGAAGUCAAGGAUUGCAAGUUGAUCUUCUUGGAGAGGAUCUCACUAGUAAGCUUAUAGAGGUGCGUAUUAAUGUGUUUUACUUUUGGGUUUUUUGAUUGAAGAAGAAAAAACAUAACUUGACAAUGAAUUGUGGUUUUGUUGAAAUCAAAAGUUGUAGUUUUUUUUUAAAGGGAACUUAUUUGGAUCAGUUUUGUCAAUUGCAAAAUAGUGGUUUUGUACAAAUACAAAUUCCACUAUGCAUUAAUGCUGUAAGACACUAUUUGACAACACUUUGUUCUUUGUAUUUAAUUGUGUAUCACCGAACAAUAGUAGUUUGUUAAAGUUUUGCUACAUAUAGCCGCUAUUUGACAACAUUGAUUUGGGUUGGUUGAUUCAUUUCUAACUUUGGCUAAUGCUAGUAAGUGGUGUGAGGGCCAAUAAAAAUACGGAAAUAGCAUUCAAGUUGCUUUGAAAUCGAGGGGAGAUUGGUGCAAUUUUCUCAACAAAUAAGAGUGAUGAUGCUAUGUAAGCAUACCUUAGGGGAUAUGAGUGCUACUUCUCCAAUCAGAAUUACAAGUUUUUUUUUUGGUUGAAAAAUGUAGCUUUUUAUUGUGUUGAAAGAUGUGCUUUUUAGUGAAACUUAUUGAUCAGUUCUUUAUGUACCGUGGCUUUUGAGACCUAUAGCUUUUUAUGCACACAUAUGGACUGCUAUGUUCUGUUUUAUUUACAGGAUGCCCAAAAAGAAUGUCUUCUUGUUAACGCUCCUUUGAUUUGUAGAGCUUCUUCGCGUGUUCCCUUUUCUGUUCUCAAGUAUGCUAUGACCCUUGAUGGUAAGGAUUCUGUUCAAUUUCAUGUUAUUGUCUUUUCUUGCAUGAGUUUUAGAGUCUUGUAAUAAUAACCUUCCUUUUGGUGCAACAGGAAAGAUUGCUGCUAGCACCGGUCAUGCAUGGUGGAUAAGUUGCAAGAAAUCUAGAAGUCUAGUUUUUGAGCUGCGAGCUAGAAGCGAUGCAAUAAUUGUAGGAGGAAAUACAGUUCGAAGGGACAGUGAGUAUCGUCGUUAUCAUUAGAUAAAUGUCUCAAACUUUGAUUUUUAAUACCUUCCUUCCUAAAUUCAAUCAGAUCCGAGACUGACAGCGAGACAUGGAGGCGGUCAUAUGCCAAUGCGCAUUGUAAUGUCUCAGUCCCUCGAUCUUCCUGAGGAAGCAAACUUAUGGGACAUGUCCGAGGUUUCUACCAUAGUUGUAACACAAAGGGGUGCGAGAAAGAGUUUCCAGAAGCUACUUGCAUCUAAAGGAGUUGAAGUUGUGGAGUUUGACAUAUUAAAUCCCCGAGAUGUUAUGGAGUAUUUUCACGAUCGAGGAUAUCUUUCAGUUUUCUGGGAAUGCGGAGGAACAUUGGCUGCAUCUGCUAUUUCGUCUGGAGUAAUUCACAAGGUUUCAUUUAUCUUUUUCUUUUUCAUUUUCCAUGGGAGAAAUUUAAAUAAAGCUCCAUUUGUUAUUGGCUGAUGAGAGGUUUCCCUCACAAAAUGUUUCGUUUGUUUGGUUGGUUAUACUAAUUAUAGGAGACAAAUUCUAUUUAGAUUGAGUUUUUCUUAGUUGGCUUUAUCUUUUUAUUUUAUUUUAUCAAUAUGUUAGGAUAAUGGUGAAAUUUAUGUCCAUCAGGUUUAUGCAUUUGUUGCUCCUAAAAUUAUUGGUGGAAAGAAUGCACCAUCUCCUGUGGGUGAUCUUGGGAUGGUUGAGAUGUCACAGGCUAUAAAUCUAAUUGAUGUUUGCUAUCAGCAGGUUAGUUCAAACUUAUUUGCUUUUCCCUUCGAAGUUCGAAGUUCGAAGUACUGGUAUUGUUUUAAGUAUAUGUUUAAUAUAUAUAUAUAUAUAUAUUUACAGUUGAAUCGAUCACUGUAAUGCAGGUUGGGCCUGACAUGCUUGUUAGCGGAUUUCUUCAGCCGUUACCAGANNNNNNNNNNNNNNNNNNNNNNNNNNNNNNNNNNNNNNNNNNNNNNNNNNNNNNNNNNNNNNNNNNNNNNNNNNNNNNNNNNNNNNNNNNNNNNNNNNNNNNNNAUAACCGACUACCAACUCAAUUUAAUUAAAAGGGUUUUCUAUACUAAAACCAUAAAUUGAAUUUUUAUACUCAUAUAUACCAUAAUUGAUGAUUCAUAUAUGCAUCUGCUUUCGAUGAUUUAUAACCUAUAUGUGAUUCCUAAACUCAAUUCAGACACCAUGGGAAUGAAAACGCAAAGGUAAUGUUGGGGGAGAAUAACAACAAAUCAAAAAAAAAAUAUCGGGCUUAGGCUCUCAUGUUUAAAAAAAAAAUUGAUUUUUUUUUGGUAGAACAAUAAAUCAAAUUUUUAUGCAACCUAAAAAUAAGGAAUAUCCUAAAUAGAUAUGCACAUGAGUUAAUAUAGGAAACUAUUAUUAGCCUUUGAUUAAAAAACAUAGACGGUUGAGAUUUGGUGUCAAAUUAAAGUUUGACACCUGGUGUCAAUGAAUCCUAACUCAUAUAUAUAUAUAUAUUUACAGUUGAAUUGAUCACUGUAAUGCAGGUUGGGCCUGACAUGCUUGUUAGCGGAUUUCUUCAGCCGUUACCAGACAUGGCUCCUACAAUUCCAUCACGAGAGGAAACUUUUGUUGUUGACCCUACUGUCUCACCAUAUGAAUCCAGCAUCAUAUUUUUCUAUAAAACUUGGGAUCCUUAUGGUGCAUUGUCAAAUUUCUCUCCUCAUCCCAUUCAAAUGCCUGAUGAAAAUGGCGAUAAUGUGACUUGGUCAAGUGUGGAGCAUUACUACCAGGUACUUUUUUUCUUUUUGUAUAGAUUCUAUUUUCCUUUGCAGUAUUAUUGUAUUGCUUAUAAAUUAAAUUUGUUGACUAGGCGCACAAGUUUGUUGGAGUGGAUGAUACUUCUGCACAGGAUUGUUUGGAAAGGAUCAAAUCUGCAAAAAGCCCAGAGGAAGCUGCAAGAAUAGGAAGGUCAAUGCAAAGACAGCGUCCGGAUCUGGUAUGAUCCCCCAAGUGGUUUUCAAUCUUUAAGACUCUGUUUGGUAAAACAUAGCGGAUAAGCUAGCUGAUAGUAGACAAGUUAUCUGAUUGAAUUUGAGUUUAGUAAAAUUAGAGGUUAAUUUGCUGAUAAAUAUAAAAUGAUAAAAAAGUAUAUAUGUUCAAUUAAUAUUUAAACUUUUUCAAUUAAGAUAAUGAGGGUAAAAGUUAGAGAAAAUAAGAUAUUCUGUUAUGAGGGUAAAAGUUAGAGAAAAUAUGAUAUUCUGUUAUAAGUUAUAAGCUCCAACGCUUAUAAACUUGUGAAAAAGCGCAAUAAGUUUGCAAACGAAUGAUACAAGCUUAUGCGCAAUAAGCUAUCCUCUACUGGCUCUAAGACUUGAUUGGUUCUUGUCAUUGCAUAUGCUAUCUUAAACCUUCAAAACACGUGUUAAAAUGUGUUAGAUUGGCUUUUAUUUUCUUCUUCCGAUUUCCUGUGUUUUAGAUGUUUGAAACUUUAUAUUUUAUGGGGGCUGCAGAUAAGGCCCGAGUGGGACAACAUGAAGAUCGAUGUGAUGUACUCGGCACUGAAAUGCAAGUUCUCAACGUAUCCACAUUUGAGUUCUAUGCUGGUUUCAACUGCUGGUUCUGUUCUAGUUGAGGCUUCUCCGCAUGAUCUCUUUUGGGGUGGAGGUCGAGAAGGUGAAGGCUUGAAUUAUCUUGGACGACUGUUGAUGAAAUUGAGGUCAGAGUUUAUUGAGGAAUCUUCGUCGUCAAGUGAGUCCUCUAGUUUAGCUGUAUAGUAUUUUUAAACAGAGAAGAAAAACAAUAUUUUUGAUGUAGAAUUACCAAAAUUACUUGUUGUACAACACAUGCCAUAAUAAAACACAGUAGAUUGUUUAGGAAUCAAAGUUUUGAAUGUAUUUAUACAUUUUUCCAAUAAAUAUUUCUCAUUUGUUAAUUUCUUAAUAAGUGUUUUAAGGAUCCUAGUUAAGAGGACUGUAAAAAAUAGCUUUGCUUCUUAAACUCACGCUUUAUUUGGUUGAACUCUGGUAAAUUUUACCCAAUAAAAGAGUGUAUUAAAUUUUUUUUAUGUUUGUAUAUUCGGCAUUAUGAAGAAGUCUCAAUAUACACGCGAGUGUGAUGGGUAAAAUUGAGUAAAACAUGGCUGGUUAAGCUUUUAGUACACGAUGAACUGCCAGAGUUGCAAAUUUCACCUUACACCUGAGGAAUGGUAUUGGUUGGUGGCGAAGGCUCUGCAAAUGACUUACAGAACUGAUCCAGACAGUUUGAGUGACGAUAGCUAGUGUUGCACAUGUAUGGGCAGCAUCCCUUCUCGUNNNNNNNNNNGGGUGCUCCAUGCAGACUGGACACCUAGCUUCUUCCCAUUCUUUUAUAUUUUCUUCGGACUCUUUAGGAGUUUUAGAAUUAGAUCUUCUGACUUAGAUCUUCUGACGUGGCUAGAACUACUUGGAUAAGGUGAUGUUCUGCUACUAUCAUGCGACAAAGACCUAUCUUUUCUCUUCAACUUUAAUUCUCCAUGAAGAAGAUAAGUAUUUCCUAGCUGUCCUACAGCCAACAAACUCAUCGGCUUCAAGUCCACAGCUUUGGAGAGUAAGUUUGCAGACCUGUAUAACAUGAUUUCAGCUUGUUUGCCAUCAUAAAUACCCUUUACAAACUCUUUUGAUUGUUUUAGAAGUUCCAUUACUAUCCCUCUUGCCAAGAGAAGACCUGAAAGUUUCAUGGUCUUGAUCGAGCAAUUGCUCACGCAAAAAGGAAGUCUCGCUCUCCACGCGUUUCAUUCUGACUUUAAACCUUUCAGAACAUUUGUGUUGUGGUUGAAUGUGUCUAUACCUUGUGAUUUAGUAGGAAGUGUGGUUGGGGUUGCGGUGUGGCGGUCAAGUCACUAUAUAUUGGUAGAGUUGGCAAUUGCAACAAAUUUCAUUUACUACUACCAAUAUGACAUUCCUUGCUGUGUUAUUGGGAUCACUGGUAAUGAAGAUAGCAGAAUGCAGAGCAACUCGUGGUCGUGGGUAUGAGAAACUUGAGUACCGUGCCAUUAUUUGCAAAAAACGCAUUGUAGUUUUGACUGAUUUUGGUGUUGUUGAUGAUGGUAAAACAUCAAGCACUAAAGUUUUUCCAUAUGCAAUAAAAAAUCUCAGCCAGUAUGCUUAUGAUAGUGGAGCUUUACUUGUGGUGACACAUGGGAAAUGGCUAAUUGAAAUCUUUAAUCUUACUAGUCAUUUCACUAUUUUCCUCCAAAAUGAAGUUGUCAUUCUUGCAUCUCAAGAUGAGUUAGAGUGGGCCUCACUUCAUGUCUUAGCAUCAUAUGGAAGAGGAAGGGAUGCACAUGAAAGGUUAAAUAGUCUCAUUUUUGGAACUAACCUCUCACAGCUGUUGUUAGUACUGGUUACGAUGGUCCAUUUGAUGGGCAUGGCUCUUAUUGGUGGAACAAUCUUCACAUGGAUGAAUGAAUUGAAACUCAAUAAGGCAUACUUGAUUGAGCUUACAUCCUUUAAUCACAUCCAAUCAUCAAUUCUCACUUUGAUUAACUCACCAUCUUGGUUAGUCUAUCCAAUUUAUACCAAUGACAUUAUAAUUCAAGGACUAAUCAUUUUUGCAGCAAUUUAUUCUCCCAACACAUAUGGAAUAUAUCCAUAUUCUUGUACGAUUAUUAGGACUCGAGAUUGUCAAACAGUAUCUAGUAGUGAUUGUGUUGCAAUUAAAAGUGGUUGUCGUGAGUAUGGAACCAAGUUUGGAAUGACAAGCCAACAUAUUAUAAUUAGAAGGCUCAAAUAUGUAUACCCUGACAAUGUUGUUAAUACUUUCUUCGGAUUGAAUUAUUAUUUUAUGUGCCUAUGAUAAUGUAGUAAGAACUAAGUUUCUGCUAUUGUAAAUUUUGGCUUACCAAAUUCAUGGUGGAACAUGUCAAUCUCUAUUAAUUGGGCUAGUACAUUGUUUAGUGAAUAAAGUGUUGAUGCUGAUGUACUUCAAACUUCAAACUUUGCUGAUGAUUAAAGUCACUGAGUUUCUUCAAUAGCUUCAAAAUAUAACUAGCCUAAAUCAUAGAAUGUAUGAGGAGCAGU
Molecule: long non-coding RNA, 12654 nt
Filed under: Trifolium pratense (red clover)
Lineage: Eukaryota; Viridiplantae; Streptophyta; Magnoliopsida; Fabales; Fabaceae
Description: long non-coding RNA (TPRA_LNC007408)
Source: RNAcentral